AGCAGCCGCGGUAAUUCCAGCUCCAAUAGCGUAUAUUAAAGUUGUUGCAGUUAAAAAGCUCGUAGUUGAAUUUCAGGCCUGGCUGGACGGUCCGCCCUUCGGGUGAGUACUGUCUGUGGUCGGGUCCUACCUUCUGGCGAAGCGUCAUGGCCUUAACCGGCCGUGGCGGGGAACCAGGACUUUUACUGUGAAAAAUUAGAGUGUUCAAAGCAGGCAAUCGCUUGGAUACAUUAGCAUGGAAUAAUGGAAUAGGACAAUGGUUCUAUUUGUUGGUUUCUAGGACCGUUGUAAUGAUUAAUAGGGAUAGUUGGGGGCAUUAGUAUUCAAUUGUCAGAGGUGAAAUUCUUGGAUUUAUUGAAGACUAACUACUGCGAAAGCAUUUGCCAAGGAUGUUUUCAUUAAUCAAGAACGAAAGUUAGGGGAUCGAAGACGAUCAGAUACCGUCGUAGUCUUAACCAUAAACUAUGCCGACUAGGAAUCGGGCGAUGUUGAAAAAAUGACGCGCUCGGCACCUCAUG
This 518-nucleotide ribosomal RNA is filed under the name uncultured Paraglomus. Its description in RNAcentral is "SSU rRNA". It matches the Rfam family "Eukaryotic small subunit ribosomal RNA", at positions 569 to 1092 of the family's 1831-position model. RNAcentral also lists the same sequence under 1 other name. The record is from RNAcentral. Lineage: Eukaryota; Fungi; Glomeromycota; Glomeromycetes; Paraglomerales; Paraglomeraceae.